RNAcentral lists this long non-coding RNA (632 nucleotides) under Apteryx rowi (Okarito brown kiwi). RNAcentral describes it as "lncRNA (ENSARWG00000003161.1)". The record is from RNAcentral. Lineage: Eukaryota; Metazoa; Chordata; Aves; Apterygiformes; Apterygidae.
AUCAAACAGCAGAAGCGUGGGCUGCCACCGGAAGGAGUAUCGCUUCCCUGCCCCGCAGCCCGGCUCCAUGUCCUCACGCUCUCCCCUCUGCCAGCGCCAGCAACUGYGCGGCUGCCCGAUUUCAUCUUCAAAAAUACCACUCAAUUAUACCUUCUUCCAUCCCCACUUGGCCUAAAUGAGGACAGCCAGCUAUAACCUGAUCUCCACAAGAACGCUCAAGGGCUGGCCUUAUGCAAGAGUAACAUCUUAAUGCUCAAUUCCGCAUAUAAAAGAAAGAAGUCAAAGCUACAAGCAAAGAGUUAAAAAAAACAAUCUUGGCUGCAAAUGGGAACAGUUUCAUGCUUACACACACACUCAAACACUUCAGUAAAAUAACUGGGUUUAUUUUACUAAAUAUUCCAUCCUGUGAGAGGCUGCAAAACCCUUCUGAUCAGAGAGAAGGCAACCCUUGCUCCUCAGACCGGGAACUGCAGGCUCCACGAAGACGCAGGGCAGCCUCCAUUUUGGAAAACCAGGAAGAGCUAGAAACUGAUGACAAUUUUCUUCAUUUGGAACAGCUGGAGCACAAGAUUCACAUUCGCUCAAUUUCCUGCUGGCAGCAACUCAAAGCUGCGCUGCAAAGCAAAGGGUAA